Molecule: ribosomal RNA, 253 nt
Filed under: uncultured bacterium
Lineage: Bacteria
Description: partial 16S ribosomal RNA
Rfam family: Bacterial small subunit ribosomal RNA
Source: RNAcentral
UACGGAGGUCUCAAGCGUUGUUCGGAUUCAUUGGGCGUAAAGGGUGCGUAGGUGGCGCCGUAAGUGGGGUGUGAAAUCUCGGGGCUUAACUCCGAAACUGCAUUCCAUACUGCGGUGCUCGAGGACUGGAGAGGAGACUGGAAUUUACGGUGUAGCAGUGAAAUGCGUAGAGAUCGGAAGGAAGACCAGUGGCGAAGGCGGGUCUCUGGACAGUUACUGACGCUGAGGCACGAAGGCGAGGGGAGCAAACGGG